GAUGAACGCUGGCGGCGUGCCUAACACAUGCAAGUCGAGCGGCAGCGAGGGGUGCUUGCACCCUGUCGGCGAGCGGCGGACGGCUGAGUAACGCGUGGGAACGUGCCCCAAAGUGAGGAAUAACUGCCCGAAAGGGUGGCUAAUACCGCAUAUUAUCUUCGGAUCAAAGGAUUUAUCCGCUUUGGGAGCGGCUCGCGUCGGAUUAGGUAGUUGGUGAGGUAAUGGCUCACCAAGCCGACGAUCCGUAGCUGGUCUGAGAGGAUGACCAGCCAGACUGGAACUGAGACACGGUCCAGACUCCUACGGGAGGCAGCAGUGAGGAAUCUUCCACAAUGGGCGAAAGCCUGAUGGAGCAACGCCGCGUGCAGGACGAAGGCCUUCGGGUUGUAAACUGCUUUUAUAAGUGAGGAAUAUGACGGUAACUGAUGAAUAAGGAUCGGCUAACUACGUG
Molecule: ribosomal RNA, 451 nt
Filed under: uncultured bacterium
Lineage: Bacteria
Description: partial 16S ribosomal RNA
Rfam family: Bacterial small subunit ribosomal RNA
Source: RNAcentral